AUUGUACGCUGGCGGCAUGCCUUACACAUGCAAGUCGAACGGCAGCACGGAGCUUGCUCUGGUGGCGAGUGGCGAACGGGUGAGUAAUAUAUCGGAACGUACCCUAGAGUGGGGGAUAACGUAUCGAAAGUUACGCUAAUACCGCAUACGAUCUAAUGAUGAAAGUGGGGGAUCGCAAGACCUCAUGCUCGUGGAGCGGCCGAUAUCUGAUUAGCUAUUUGGUAGGGUAAAAGCCUACCAAGGCAUCGAUCAGUAGCUGGUCUGAGAGGACGACCAGCCACACUGGAACUGAGACACGGUCCAGACUCCUACGGGAGGCAGCAGUGGGGAAUUUUGGACAAUGGGCGAAAGCCUGAUCCAGCAUUGCCGCGUGAGUGAAGAAGGCCUUCGGGUUGUAAAGCUCUUUUGUCAGGGAAGAAACGGUGAGAGCUAAUAUCUCUUGCUAAUGACGGUACCUUGAGAAUAAGCUCCGGCUAACUACGUGCCAUCAGCCGCGGUAAUACGUAGGGUGCAAGCGUUAAUCGGAAUUACUGGGCGUAAAGCGUGCGCAGGCGGUUUUGUUUGUCUGAUGUGAAAUCCCCUGGCUCAACCUGGGAAUUGCAAUUGAGAAUGCAAGGGUAGAAUCUGGCAGAGGGGGGUAAAUUUCACGUGUAGCAGUGAAAUGAUAGGAUAUGUGGAGGAAACACCGAUGGCGAAAGACAGCCCCCCUGGGUCAAGAUUGACGCUCAUGCACGAAAGCGUGGGGAGCAAACAGGAUUAGAUACCCUGGUAGUCCACGCCCUAAACGAUGUCUACUAGUUGUCGGGUCUUAAUUGACUUGGUAACGCAGCUAACGCGUGAAGUAGACCGCCUGGGGAGUACGGUCGCAAGAUUAAAACUCAAAGGAAUUGACGGGGACCCGCACAAGCGGUGGAUGAUGUGGAUUAAUUCGAUGCAACGCGAAAAACCUUACCUACCCUUGACAUGGCUGGAAUCCUCGAGAGAUUGAGGAGUGCUCGAAAGAGAACCAGUACACAGGUGCUGCAUGGCUGUCGUCAGCUCGUGUCGUGAGAUGUUGGGUUAAGUCCCGCAACGAGCGCAACCCUUGUCAUUAGUUGCUACGAAAGGGCACUCUAAUGAGACUGCCGGUGACAAACCGGAGGAAGGUGGGGAUGACGUCAAGUCCUCAUGGCCCUUAUGGGUAGGGCUUCACACGUCAUACAAUGGUACAUACAGAGCGCCGCCAACCCGCGAGGGGGAGCUAAUCGCAGAAAGUGUAUCGUAGUCCGGAUUGUAGUCUGCAACUCGACUGCAUGAAGUUGGAAUCGCUAGUAAUCGCGGAUAAACAUGUCGCGGUGAAUACGUUCCCGGGUCU
This 1354-nucleotide ribosomal RNA is filed under the name uncultured bacterium. Its description in RNAcentral is "bacterial SSU rRNA". It matches the Rfam family "Bacterial small subunit ribosomal RNA", at positions 28 to 1381 of the family's 1533-position model. The record is from RNAcentral.